This 301-nucleotide ribosomal RNA is filed under the name uncultured bacterium. RNAcentral describes it as "partial 16S ribosomal RNA". It matches the Rfam family "Bacterial small subunit ribosomal RNA", at positions 509 to 809 of the family's 1533-position model. The record is from RNAcentral.
CAGCAGCCACGGUAAUACAGAGGGUGCGAGCGUUAAUCGGAUUUACUGGGCGUAAAGCGUGCGUAGGCGGCUUUUUAAGUCGGAUGUGAAAUCCCUGAGCUUAACUUAGGAAUUGCAUUCGAUACUGGGAAGCUAGAGUAUGGGAGAGGAUGGUAGAAUUCCAGGUGUAGCGGUGAAAUGCGUAGAGAUCUGGAGGAAUACCGAUGGCGAAGGCAGCCAUCUGGCCUAAUACUGACGCUGAGGUACGAAAGCAUGGGGAGCAAACAGGAUUAGAUACCCGUGUAGUCCCUGUCUCUUAUAA